GGCUUGUAGCUCAGUGGUAGAGUACUCUCCUUGCAUGUGGAAGGCACUGGGUUCAGUCCUCAGCACCA
RNAcentral lists this transfer RNA (68 nucleotides) under Marmota monax (woodchuck). RNAcentral describes it as "tRNA.Ala". The record is from RNAcentral. Lineage: Eukaryota; Metazoa; Chordata; Mammalia; Rodentia; Sciuridae.